GAUGAACGCUGGCGGCGUGCCUAAUACAUGCAGGUCGAGCGAACAGACGAGGAGCUUGCUCCUCUGACGUUAGCGGCGGACGGGUGAGUAACACGUGGAUAACCUACCUAUAAGACUGGGAUAACUUCGGGAAACCGGAGCUAAUACCGGAUAAUAUAUUGAACCGCAUGGUUCAAUAGUGAAAGACGGUUUUGCUGCCACUUAUAGAUGGAUCCGCGCCGCAUUAGCUAGUUGGUAAGGUAACGGCUUACCAAGGCAACGAUGCGUAGCCGACCUGAGAGGGUGAUCGGCCACACUGGAACUGAGACACGGUCCAGACUCCUACGGGAGGCAGCAGUAGGGAAUCUUCCGCAAUGGGCGAAAGCCUGACGGAGCAACGCCGCGUGAGUGAUGAAGGUCUUCGGAUCGUAAAACUCUGUUAUUAGGGAAGAACAAAUGUGUAAGUAACUAUGCACGUCUUGACGGUACCUAAUCAGAAAGCCACGGCUAACUACGUG
This 497-nucleotide ribosomal RNA is filed under the name uncultured bacterium. RNAcentral describes it as "partial 16S ribosomal RNA". It matches the Rfam family "Bacterial small subunit ribosomal RNA", at positions 28 to 507 of the family's 1533-position model. The record is from RNAcentral.